UAUAGUGCUCACUUUAGGUAGCACAAAUUGGAAUGAUGCACAGAGAUUAGUAUGUCCCCUGCAUAAGGAGGACAUGCAAAUUCAUAAAGCAUUCCAUCUCUUC
Talpa occidentalis (Iberian mole) is the source of this 103-nucleotide small nuclear RNA. The record is from RefSeq and is a predicted model, not a curated record. NCBI's taxonomy places the organism in Eukaryota, Metazoa, Chordata, Mammalia, Eulipotyphla, Talpidae.